AUUGAACGCUGGCGGCAUGCCUUACACAUGCAAGUCGAACGGCAGCACGGAGCUUGCUCUGGUGGCGAGUGGCGAACGGGUGAGUAAUAUAUCGGAACGUACCCUAGAGUGGGGGAUAACGUAGCGAAAGUUACGCUAAUACCGCAUACGAUCUAAGGAUGAAAGUGGGGGAUCGCAAGACCUCAUGCUCGUGGAGCGGCCGAUAUCUGAUUAGCUAGUUGGUAGGGUAAAAGCCUACCAAGGCAUCGAUCAGUAGCUGGUCUGAGAGGACGACCAGCCACACUGGAACUGAGACACGGUCCAGACUCCUACGGGAGGCAGCAGUGGGGAAUUUUGGACAAUGGGCGAAAGCCUGAUCCAGCAAUGCCGCGUGAGUGAAGAAGGCCUUCGGGUUGUAAAGCUCUUUUGUCAGGGAAGAAACGGUGAGAGCUAAUAUCUCUUGCUAAUGACGGUACCUGAAGAAUAAGCACCGGCUAACUACGUGCCAGCAGCCGCGGUAAUACGUAGGGUGCAAGCGUUAAUCGGAAUUACUGGGCGUAAAGCGUGCGCAGGCGGUUUUGUAAGUCUGAUGUGAAAUCCCCGGGCUCAACCUGGGAAUUGCAUUGGAGACUGCAAGGCUAGAAUCUGGCAGAGGGGGGUAGAAUUCCACGUGUAGCAGUGAAAUGCGUAGAUAUGUGGAGGAACACCGAUGGCGAAGGCAGCCCCCUGGGUCAAGAUUGACGCUCAUGCACGAAAGCGUGGGGAGCAAACGGGAUUAGAUACCCUGGUAGUCCACGCCCUAAACGAUGUCUACUAGUUGUCGGGUCUUAAUUGACUUGGUAACGCAGCUAACGCGUGAAGUAGACCGCCUGGGGAGUACGGUCGCAAGAUUAAAACUCAAAGGAAUUGACGGGGACCCGCACAAGCGGUGGAUGAUGUGGAUUAAUUCGAUGCAACGCGAAAAACCUUACCUACCCUUGACAUGGCUGGAAUCCCCGAGAGAUUGGGGAGUGCUCGAAAGAGAACCAGUACACAGGUGCUGCAUGGCUGUCGUCAGCUCGUGUCGUGAGAUGUUGGGUUAAGUCCCGCAACGAGCGCAACCCUUGUCAUUAGUUGCUACGAAAGGGCACUCUAAUGAGACUGCCGGUGACAAACCGGAGGAAGGUGGGGAUGACGUCAAGUCCUCAUGGCCCUUAUGGGUAGGGCUUCACACGUCAUACAAUGGUACAUACAGAGCGCCGCCAACCCGCGAGGGGGAGCUAAUCGCAGAAAGUGUAUCGUAGUCCGGAUUGUAGUCUGCAACUCGACUGCAUGAAGUUGGAAUCGCUAGUAAUCGCGGAUCAGCAUGUCGCGGUGAAUACGUUCCCGGGUCU
Molecule: ribosomal RNA, 1352 nt
Filed under: uncultured bacterium
Lineage: Bacteria
Description: bacterial SSU rRNA
Rfam family: Bacterial small subunit ribosomal RNA
Source: RNAcentral